ACUCCUACGGGAGGCAGCAGUGGGGAAUUUUGGACAAUGGGCGCAAGCCUGAUCCAGCCAUGCCGCGUGCGGGAAGAAGGCCUUCGGGUUGUAAACCGCUUUUGUCAGGGAAGAAAUCCUUUGGGUUAAUAACUCGGAGGGAUGACGGUACCUGAAGAAUAAGCACCGGCUAACUACGUGCCAGCAGCCGCGGUAAUACGUAGGGUGCGAGCGUUAAUCGGAAUUACUGGGCGUAAAGCGUGCGCAGGCGGUUUUGAAAGUCAGAUGUGAAAUCCCCGAGCUCAACUUGGGAACUGCGUUUGAAACUCCAAAGCUAGAGUAUAGGAGAGGGGGGUAGAAUUCCACGUGUAGCAGUGAAAUGCGUAGAGAUGUGGAGGAAUACCAAUGGCGAAGGCAGCCCCCUGGCCUAAUACUGACGCUCAUGCACGAAAGCGUGGGGAGCAAACAGGAUUAGAUACCCUGGUAGUCCACGCCCUAAACGAUGUCUACUAGUUGUUGGUGGAGUAAAAUCCAUUAGUAACGCAGCUAACGCGUGAAGUAGACCGCCUGGGGAGUACGGUCGCAAGAUUAAAACUCAAAUGAAUUGACGGGGGCCCGCACAAGC
RNAcentral lists this ribosomal RNA (604 nucleotides) under uncultured organism. RNAcentral describes it as "bacterial SSU rRNA". It matches the Rfam family "Bacterial small subunit ribosomal RNA", at positions 335 to 930 of the family's 1533-position model. The record is from RNAcentral.